This 528-nucleotide ribosomal RNA is filed under the name Pseudomonas putida. Its description in RNAcentral is "bacterial SSU rRNA". It matches the Rfam family "Bacterial small subunit ribosomal RNA", at positions 264 to 784 of the family's 1533-position model. Lineage: Bacteria; Pseudomonadati; Pseudomonadota; Gammaproteobacteria; Pseudomonadales; Pseudomonadaceae. The record is from RNAcentral.
CUCACCAAGGCGACGAUCCGUAACUGGUCUGAGAGGAUGAUCAGUCACACUGGAACUGAGACACGGUCCAGACUCCUACGGGAGGCAGCAGUGGGGAAUAUUGGACAAUGGGCGAAAGCCUGAUCCAGCCAUGCCGCGUGUGUGAAGAAGGUCUUCGGAUUGUAAAGCACUUUAAGUUGGGAGGAAGGGCAGUAAGCGAAUACCUUGCUGUUUUGACGUUACCGACAGAAUAAGCACCGGCUAACUCUGUGCCAGCAGCCGCGGUAAUACAGAGGGUGCAAGCGUUAAUCGGAAUUACUGGGCGUAAGGCGCGCGUAGGUGGUUUGUUAAGUUGAAUGUGAAAGCCCCGGGCUCAACCUGGGAACUGCAUCCAAAACUGGCAAGCUAGAGUACGGUAGAGGGUGGUGGAAUUUCCUGUGUAGCGGUGAAAUGCGUAGAUAUAGGAAGGAACACCAGUGGCGAAGGCGACCACCUGGACUGAUACUGACACUGAGGUGCGAAAGCGUGGGGAGCAAACAGGAUUAGAUA